This 72-nucleotide transfer RNA is filed under the name Caudoviricetes sp. RNAcentral describes it as "tRNA-Lys". It matches the Rfam family "tRNA". Rfam says of the family: Transfer RNA (tRNA) molecules are approximately 80 nucleotides in length. Their secondary structure includes four short double-helical elements and three loops (D, anti-codon, and T loops). Further hydrogen bonds mediate the characteristic L-shaped molecular structure. tRNAs have two regions of fundamental functional importance: the anti-codon, which is responsible for specific mRNA codon recognition, and the 3' end, to which the tRNAs corresponding amino acid is attached (by aminoacyl-tRNA synthetases). tRNAs cope with the degeneracy of the genetic code in two manners: having more than one tRNA (with a specific anti-codon) for a particular amino acid; and 'wobble' base-pairing, i.e. permitting non-standard base-pairing at the 3rd anti-codon position. Lineage: Duplodnaviria; Heunggongvirae; Uroviricota; Caudoviricetes. The record is from RNAcentral.
GACCUCAUAGCUCAACGAUUAGAGCUGCGGACUCUUAAUCCGUCGAUCAGGGUUUGAAUCCCUGUGGGGUCA